ACGGAAGGCAGCAGUGAGGAAUAUUGGUCAAUGGACGGAAGUCUGAACCAGCCAAGUCGCGUGAAGGAUGAAGGUAUUAUGUAUUGUAAACUUCUUUAGCAGUGGAGUAAUAAGGGGAUCGCGAUCCCUGAUGCAAGUACACUGAGAAUAAGGAUCGGCUAACUCCGUGCCAGCAGCCGCGGUAAUACGGAGGAUCCGAGCGUUAUCCGGAUUUAUUGGGUUUAAAGGGAGCGUAGGCGGAAGGUCAAGUCAGCUGUGAAAUGUAGUCGCUCAACGUCUGCACUGCAGUUGAAACUGGCCUCCUUGAGUGCGUAAGAGGCAGGCGGAAUUCGUCGUGUAGCGGUGAAAUGCUUAGAUAUGACGAAGAACUCCUAUUGCGAAGGCAGCUUGCUGGGCCGCAACUGACGCUGAAGCUCGAAGGUGCGGGUAUCGAACAGGAUUAGAUACCCUGGUA
This 454-nucleotide ribosomal RNA is filed under the name uncultured Bacteroides sp. RNAcentral's name for it is "partial 16S ribosomal RNA". It matches the Rfam family "Bacterial small subunit ribosomal RNA", at positions 341 to 792 of the family's 1533-position model. Lineage: Bacteria; Pseudomonadati; Bacteroidota; Bacteroidia; Bacteroidales; Bacteroidaceae. The record is from RNAcentral.